RNAcentral lists this ribosomal RNA (492 nucleotides) under uncultured bacterium. RNAcentral's name for it is "partial 16S ribosomal RNA". It matches the Rfam family "Bacterial small subunit ribosomal RNA", at positions 29 to 507 of the family's 1533-position model. The record is from RNAcentral.
AGUGAACGCUGGCGGUAGGCCUAACACAUGCAAGUCGAACGGCAGCACAGUAAGAGCUUGCUCUUACGGGUGGCGAGUGGCGGACGGGUGAGGAAUACAUCGGAAUCUACUUUUUCGUGGGGGAUAACGUAGGGAAACUUACGCUAAUACCGCAUACGACCUACGGGUGAAAGCAGGGGAUCUUCGGACCUUGCGCGAUUGAAUGAGCCGAUGUCGGCUUAGCUAGUUGGCGGGGUAAAGGCCCACAAAGGCGACGAUCCGUAGCUGGUCUGAGAGGAUGAUCAGCCACACUGUAACAGAGACACGGUCCAGACACCGACGGGAGGCAGCAGUGGGGAAUAUUGGACAAUGGGCGAAAGCCUGAUCCAGCCAUACCGGGUGGGUGAAGAAGGCGUUCGGGUUGUAAAGCCCUUUUGUUGGGAAAGAAAAGCAGCAGGUUAAUACCCCGCUGUUCUGACGGUACCCAAAGAAUAAGCACCGGCUAACUUCGUG